Pseudophryne corroboree (corroboree frog) is the source of this 369-nucleotide long non-coding RNA. RefSeq lists it as uncharacterized. The record is from RefSeq and is a predicted model, not a curated record. NCBI's taxonomy places the organism in Eukaryota, Metazoa, Chordata, Amphibia, Anura, Myobatrachidae. The transcript has 3 exons.
GAACUCACAGCGAGACAUCUCAAAGCGAGAUGUUAAUAUGUAGUUAAAUGGGUCUCUACAGCUGCUGUCGGUACGAGUGAGGACACGGCUUGGAUACAAUCUACCAAGAAUAUAUUUACAGGCGACUGAAUAACAUUCAAUAAGUGGUUUUAUUAAUCUGUAACCUAGGAUAUUCAGAGGGUGUCAACACAAUCGCUUCCACAACAUAAAUAUUGGUCUCUACAGCUGCUGUCGGUACGAGUGAGGACACGGCUUGGAUACAAUCUACCAAGAAUAUAUUUACAGGCGACUGAAUAACAUUCAAUAAGUGGUUUUAUUAAUCUGUAACCUAGGAUAUUCAGAGGGUGUCAACACAAUCGCUUCCACAAC